This 253-nucleotide ribosomal RNA is filed under the name uncultured bacterium. RNAcentral describes it as "partial 16S ribosomal RNA". It matches the Rfam family "Bacterial small subunit ribosomal RNA", at positions 524 to 776 of the family's 1533-position model. The record is from RNAcentral.
UACGAAGGGGGCUAGCGUUGUUCGGAAUUACUGGGCGUAAAGGGCGCGUAGGCGGCCGUUUAAGUUAGGUGUGAAAGUCCUGGGCUCAGCCUGGGGACUGCACUUAAUACUGGAUGGCUUGAAUUCGGGAGAGGAUAGCGGAAUUCCCAGUGUAGAGGUGAAAUUCGUAGAUAUUGGGAAGAACACCGGUGGCGAAGGCGGCUAUCUGGACCGACAUUGACGCUGAGGCGCGAAAGCGUGGGGAGCAAACAGG